GAAGACAUUAGUCAAAUUAUAUUGAAGGCAUAACACACUCGGGACAUCUAUGUAGGGAGAAGUGAUUAAGCACAGGCAUUCUUGUAAGAGGUCAGCCCCCACCUCCCCUCAAAGAGUGUCACUUUCCAACUUAACUCUUUUAGCCAGAUCCCGAGAGAAGAGCCUGCCCUCAUCCCUGUACCGGAGGGAGGAGAUUUUUAGGUCACAGGCUCAGCUGAAGAUUCGGCUGCAGUAUGCCCUCCCUUUUGUGCCUUCUCCUGGCCACCCUCUUAGAGGAUGGUGUUGGAGCUCAGAAAAUCUACCAAUGGCCGGCCACCAAGCUACAGGUUGAAGGGAGCCCGCUUUCCCUGGAGUGUUCCACGGAAGGGACAUCAGAUCCCAAUCUCUACUGGUAUCACCAGCCCCUAGGUGGGGUUUUACAGCUGCUGUCCUACUCUAUAACAGUAAACCAGGUGGAGGAUACAAUGCCCCAACAUUUCUCAGGUUCUAGAUCUCAACCGAGCCAUUUCCAGCUCAGCUCCCAGAAGAUCCUUGUCACUGACUCAGGUUUCUAUUUCUGUGCCUGGAGCCUCACACUGAACUGAACGAGGCAGGUAGCUGUGCAAAAACCCUUCCUUUCCUCCAGAUGCUGACAACACUUCCAGAGCUGCUACAAGAACCCUCCCGGACCACAUAGUGAUAGUGAUUUCUUCUUCCCAUGACAACGGGUACUGGGCCUGAUUAAAAAAUAAGACAUACUUUUCUCUGUUCCUCCCACUUCUAAUUCCAGCUCAUCUCUCCAGGGAACUGAGAGUCAAGAUAAUAAACUCAGUACUAAUGUUUGCAGAUAGGCAGGGUUGGCAUGGAGAAAUCCAGGAAGAAAGACAGAGGAAGAAAGCAGGAAAAAAGAAAAGGUAGAGGGAAUGGGCCAGUGAGCAUAUAGAUAGGAAUGUUGUCUUAACCAUGUUGAACCUGAAUUACCAUCAAGAUUGUUAGCUCAUGCCAUCACCCUUGUCAUGAACCUGAGAAGACCCUAACCCACCAACAAACAUGGCCCCACACACUCCUUUUCUAUCAGAUUUUCCUCCAGUUUGCAGAUAAUCUUUUCUUAUAUAAUCAUUACAUAUAUGCAUCCAUCUUCCUUUCUUUCCUUGUUCUUUUUGCUCGAGAUAGUAUCUGGUCAGAUGUAGUUCCAUGACAGAGGAUAAGGCAGAAUUCUUACCAAAAACAGGGUUUGUAGUUAAAUUGUAACCAGUGCCUUAAUCCUCAGGUUUAAGCUUAUGCUCACCUAAUUCUAACUGAGAUAACUUCUAAGGGCAUAGGAGGACUGAAUUGGUGGGAAGAGGUAGGGAUAAUACCCUUAUACAGGGGGUCAGUGAAAAUCAAGCAGGAACCUGGGACAAAGAUCAAGUUCUCCCUCUAAAUGUUAAAAAAAAAAUAAAAGAUGGGAAAUGGGAAGAGGGAUUAAGAAAAAAAGGAACUAGAGAAGCAGGGAGAUGGCAUAGGAUAAGGAUAGAAAAUAAGCUUCAGUCUGUGAAGGAAGGUCUUCAUGGAGAAAUUCUUUAAAUUAUUUAAGGAAAGAAAGGAAAUGGAAUAGAUUCUUCUGCAAGAAGAAGGGCAUAUGUAGCCAUGAGCAAUGAAUAUGUAUUUCUGGCUAACUUUUGCAACUGAACAUUCUGCUAUCAUCCAAGCCCUUUGGCUCUUGAUCUCUCUUGUUAUUAAAAAGUUGACUCUUACACUAUGCCUUUCCUCUCCAAGAGAGGGCAUGAGAAUGCUUAAAAUACGUUCUGUUUUUAAGUUAUGUCAUUGACCCAACGUACAAUUUUAUACUAAAUAAUCUUUUCUUCCCCAUAACUUAAGAUGUUCAGAAAAAGCACUAACAGAUAAGGAGGAAAA
Non-coding RNA from Vombatus ursinus (common wombat), 1875 nucleotides. The record is from the annotation of a RefSeq genome assembly. Lineage: Eukaryota; Metazoa; Chordata; Mammalia; Diprotodontia; Vombatidae.